This 1143-nucleotide ribosomal RNA is filed under the name Citrobacter koseri. Its description in RNAcentral is "partial 23S ribosomal RNA". It matches the Rfam family "Bacterial large subunit ribosomal RNA", at positions 1781 to 2916 of the family's 2925-position model. The record is from RNAcentral. Lineage: Bacteria; Pseudomonadati; Pseudomonadota; Gammaproteobacteria; Enterobacterales; Enterobacteriaceae.
AGAUACCAGCUGGCUGCAACUGUUUAUUAAAAACACAGCACUGUGCAAACACGAAAGUGGACGUAUACGGUGUGACGCCUGCCCGGUGCCGGAAGGUUAAUUGAUGGGGUUAUCCCUCGGGAGAAGCUCUUGAUCGAAGCCCCGGUAAACGGCGGCCGUAACUAUAACGGUCCUAAGGUAGCGAAAUUCCUUGUCGGGUAAGUUCCGACCUGCACGAAUGGCGUAAUGAUGGCCAGGCUGUCUCCACCCGAGACUCAGUGAAAUUGAACUCGCUGUGAAGAUGCAGUGUACCCGCGGCAAGACGGAAAGACCCCGUGAACCUUUACUAUAGCUUGACACUGAACACUGGUCCUUGAUGUGUAGGAUAGGUGGGAGGCUUUGAAGUGUGGACGCCAGUCUGCAUGGAGCCGCCCUUGAAAUACCACCCUUUAAUGGCUGGUGUUCUAACGUGGGCCCGUAAUCCGGGUUGCGGACAGUGUCUGGUGGGUAGUUUGACUGGGGCGGUCUCCUCCUAAAGAGUAACGGAGGAGCACGAAGGUCAGCUAAUCCUGGUCGGACAUCAGGAGGUUAGUGCAAUGGCAUAAGCUGGCUUGACUGCGAGCGUGACGGCGCGAGCAGGUGCGAAAGCAGGUCAUAGUGAUCCGGUGGUUCUGAAUGGAAGGGCCAUCGCUCAACGGAUAAAAGGUACUCCGGGGAUAACAGGCUGAUACCGCCCAAGAGUUCAUAUCGACGGCGGUGUUUGGCACCUCGAUGUCGGCUCAUCACAUCCUGGGGCUGAAGUAGGUCCCAAGGGUAUGGCUGUUCGCCAUUUAAAGUGGUACGCGAGCUGGGUUUAGAACGUCGUGAGACAGUUCGGUCCCUAUCUGCCGUGGGCGCUGGAGAACUGAGGGGGGCUGCUCCUAGUACGAGAGGACCGGAGUGGACGCAUCACUGGUGUUCGGGUUGUCAUGCCAAUGGCACUGCCCGGUAGCUAAAUGCGGAAGAGAUAAGUGCUGAAAGCAUCUAAGCACGAAACUUGCCCCGAGAUGAGUUCUCCCUGACUCCUUGAGAGUCCUGAAGGAACGUUGAAGACGACGACGUUGAUAGGCCGGGUGUGUAAGCGCAGCGAUGCGUUGAGCUAACCGGUACUAAUGAACCGUGAGG